RNAcentral lists this ribosomal RNA (585 nucleotides) under uncultured bacterium. Its description in RNAcentral is "partial 16S ribosomal RNA". It matches the Rfam family "Bacterial small subunit ribosomal RNA", at positions 355 to 937 of the family's 1533-position model. The record is from RNAcentral.
UGGGGAAUUUUGGACAAUGGGCGCAAGCCUGAUCCAGCCAUGCCGCGUGCGGGAAGAAGGCCUUCGGGUUGUAAACCGCUUUUGUCAGGGAAGAAAUCUUCUGAGUUAAUACCUCGGGAGGAUGACGGUACCUGAAGAAUAAGCACCGGCUAACUACGUGCCAGCAGCCGCGGUAAUACGUAGGGUGCAAGCGUUAAUCGGAAUUACUGGGCGUAAAGCGUGCGCAGGCGGUUUUGUAAGACAGAGGUGAAAUCCCCGGGCUCAACCUGGGAACUGCCUUUGUGACUGCAAGGCUUGAGUGCGGCAGAGGGGGAUGGAAUUCCGCGUGUAGCAGUGAAAUGCGUAGAUAUGCGGAGGAACACCGAUGGCGAAGGCAAUCCCCUGGGCCUGCACUGACGCUCAUGCACGAAAGCGUGGGGAGCAAACAGGAUUAGAUAGCCCUGGUAGUCCACGCCCUAAACGAUGUUAACUGGUUGUUGGGAAGGUUCCUUCUCAGUAACGUAGCUAACGCGUGAAGUUGACCGCCUGGGGAGUACGGCCGCAAGGUUGAAACUUAAAUGAAUUGACGGGGUCAUAGCUGUUUCC